GGUAGUAGCAAAUAUUCAAAUGAGAACUUUGACGGUUGAAGCGGGGAGAGGUUCUAUGUGAACGACACUUGCACAUGGGUUAGUCGAUCCUAAGGGACGGGGGAAGCCCGUCUGAUAGCGCUCUAAGCAUGCACUCCGAAAGGGAAUCAGGUUAAAAUUCCUGAACCAUGACGUGGAGGCUGAUGACAAUGUUAGGGAGUCCGGAGACGUCGGCAGGGGACCCGAAAAGAGUUAUCUUUUCUAUUUAACAUCCUUCCCACCCUGGGAACGGCUCAGCUGGAGGUAGGUUCCAGUGGCUGGAAGAGCACCGCACGUCGCAUGGUGUUCCGUGCGCCCCUGGUGCCCCUUGAAAAUUCGGAGGAUGAUGUGCCUCCCAUGCCCGGUCGUACUCAUAACUGCUUCAGGUCUCCAAAGGUGAACAACCUUUGGUC
This is a ribosomal RNA of Lupinus angustifolius (narrow-leaved blue lupine), 431 nucleotides long. It matches the Rfam family "Eukaryotic large subunit ribosomal RNA", at positions 1456 to 1888 of the family's 3401-position model. The record is from Rfam. NCBI's taxonomy places the organism in Eukaryota, Viridiplantae, Streptophyta, Magnoliopsida, Fabales, Fabaceae.